GAACGCUGGCGGCGUGCCUAACACAUGCAAGUCGAGCGGAGAUAAGAGGAGUACUUGUACAAAUUUUAUUUCAGCGGCGGACGGGUGAGUAACACGUGAGUAACCUGCCUUUCACUGGGGAAUAACAUCGAGAGAUCGGUGCUAAUACCGCAUAACGUCAUGAGACCGCAUGGUUUUAUGACCAAAGGAGUAAUCCGGUGAAAGAUGGACUCGCGUCCGAUUAGAUAGUUGGUGAGGUAAUGGCCCACCAAGUCUGCGAUCGGUAGCCGAACUGAGAGGUUGAUCGGCCACAUUGGGACUGAGACACGGCCCAGACUCCUACGGGAGGCAGCAGUAAGGAAUAUAGGUCAAUGG
RNAcentral lists this ribosomal RNA (354 nucleotides) under uncultured bacterium. RNAcentral describes it as "bacterial SSU rRNA". It matches the Rfam family "Bacterial small subunit ribosomal RNA", at positions 31 to 374 of the family's 1533-position model. The record is from RNAcentral.